UACGUAGGGGGCGAGCGUUGUCCGGAAUCAUUGGGCGUAAAGCGCGUGUAGGCGGUUCGAUAAGUCUGCUGUGAAAGUCCAGGGCUCAACCCUGGGAUGCCGGUGGAUACUGUCGGGCUAGAGUACGGAAGAGGCGAGUGGAAUUCCCGGUGUAGCGGUGAAAUGCGCAGAUAUCGGGAGGAACACCAAUUGCGAAGGCAGCUCGCUGGGACGUCACUGACGCUGAGACGCGAAAGCGUGGGGAGCAAACA
This 251-nucleotide ribosomal RNA is filed under the name uncultured bacterium. Its description in RNAcentral is "partial 16S ribosomal RNA". It matches the Rfam family "Bacterial small subunit ribosomal RNA", at positions 524 to 774 of the family's 1533-position model. The record is from RNAcentral.